UAGUUGUUUAAGCGGGGGUUGCUGCUAACUGUCAAAGUCCCCCCUUCGGGCCUGACAAUCCCAAAUUGUCAGGCCCGUUACUCAAUUUGCGAUC
This is a non-coding RNA of Chelonoidis abingdonii (Abingdon island giant tortoise), 94 nucleotides long. The record is from RefSeq and is a predicted model, not a curated record. Lineage: Eukaryota; Metazoa; Chordata; Testudines; Testudinidae.